CCUACGGGAGGCAGCAGUGAGGAAUAUUGGUCAAUGGCCGGAAGGCUGAACCAGCCAUGCCGCGUGAAGGUCAGUGCCCUAUGGGCGUUAAACUUCUUUUGUGCGGGAGCAAUAAUGGUCACGUGUGGCCAGACGAGAGUACCGUACGAAUAAGCAUCGGCUAACUCCGUGCCAGCAGCCGCGGUAAUACGGGGGAUGCAAGCGUUAUCCGGAUUUAUUGGGUUUAAAGGGUGCGUAGGCUGUGAGGUAAGUCAGCGGGGAAAUGCCCCCGCUCAACGGGGUGAAGUGCCAUUGAUACUGCCUGGCUGGAAUGCGGAUGCCGUGGGAGGAAUGUGUGGUGUAGCGGUGAAAUGCAUAGAUAUCACGAAGAACUCCGAGUGCGAAGGCAGCUUACUAAACUGCCACUGACAUUGAUGCUCGAAAGUGUGGGUAUCAAACAGGAUUAGAUACCCCUGUAGUC
Molecule: ribosomal RNA, 460 nt
Filed under: uncultured bacterium
Lineage: Bacteria
Description: partial 16S ribosomal RNA
Rfam family: Bacterial small subunit ribosomal RNA
Source: RNAcentral